Molecule: unclassified non-coding RNA, 521 nt
Filed under: Aspergillus montevidensis
Lineage: Eukaryota; Fungi; Ascomycota; Eurotiomycetes; Eurotiales; Aspergillaceae
Description: sequence contains 18S rRNA gene, ITS1, 5.8S rRNA gene, ITS2, 28S rRNA gene
Rfam family: 5.8S ribosomal RNA (bases 185-338)
Source: RNAcentral
GUAACAAGGUUUCCGUAGGUGAACCUGCGGAAGGAUCAUUACCGAGUGCGGGCCCUCUGGGUCCAACCUCCCAUCCGUGUCUAUCUGUACCCUGUUGCUUCGGCGUGGCCACGGCCCGCCGGAGACUAACAUUUGAACGCUGUCUGAAGUUUGCAGUCUGAGUUUUUAGUUAAACAAUCGUUAAAACUUUCAACAACGGAUCUCUUGGUUCCGGCAUCGAUGAAGAACGCAGCGAAAUGCGAUAAUUAAUGUGAAUUGCAGAAUUCAGUGAAUCAUCGAGUCUUUGAACGCACAUUGCGCCCCCUGGUAUUCCGGGGGGCAUGCCUGUCCGAGCGUCAUUGCUGCCCUCAAGCACGGCUUGUGUGUUGGGCUUCCGUCCCUGGCAACGGGGACGGGCCCAAAAGGCAGUGGCGGCACCAUGUCUGGUCCUCGAGCGUAUGGGGCUUUGUCACCCGCUCCCGUAGGUCCAGCUGGCAGCUAGCCUCGCAACCAAUCUUUUUAACCAGGUUGACCUCGGAUCA